Molecule: long non-coding RNA, 243 nt
Organism: Cyprinus carpio (common carp)
Lineage: Eukaryota; Metazoa; Chordata; Actinopteri; Cypriniformes; Cyprinidae
Source: Ensembl
AACGCAAUCUAUAUCAAUAAACACAACCUGACCUGUAUGUGCAACUGCCCUACAUAAGCAGCACUUCCCCAGAGACUCUCUCCUCGCCUCCUAUCUCUGAACUAUCCUGCUAACGUUCUGGAGCCAUUUUAUAGGCCCGACUCCUCCUACUCCAGAACAUACCAUAUGAAAGCUAUGAGAAUGGACUCUCCGGAGACCUAUAAAUAGACCGGAUGUCUAACUGAACAGGUUUGGCAAAUGACU